AUACUCUUGUUUCUCUUCAAAACGUACAAAUCUUUCGCCUUUUACUAAAGAUUUCCGUGGAGAGGAACAACAAGAGUUAGUCUCAAUUUUUUGAUGCCCUGUGUAAGUGGGGCU
RNAcentral lists this small nuclear RNA (114 nucleotides) under Kryptolebias marmoratus (mangrove rivulus). RNAcentral's name for it is "U5 spliceosomal RNA (ENSKMAG00000009605.1)". It matches the Rfam family "U5 spliceosomal RNA". Rfam says of the family: U5 RNA is a component of both types of known spliceosome. The precise function of this molecule is unknown, though it is known that the 5' loop is required for splice site selection and p220 binding, and that both the 3' stem-loop and the Sm site are important for Sm protein binding and cap methylation. The record is from Rfam by way of RNAcentral. Lineage: Eukaryota; Metazoa; Chordata; Actinopteri; Cyprinodontiformes; Rivulidae.